This 158-nucleotide ribosomal RNA is filed under the name Cladosporium sp. Chiang 1673. RNAcentral describes it as "5.8S ribosomal RNA". It matches the Rfam family "5.8S ribosomal RNA". Rfam says of the family: 5.8S ribosomal RNA (5.8S rRNA) is a component of the large subunit of the eukaryotic ribosome. Lineage: Eukaryota; Fungi; Ascomycota; Dothideomycetes; Cladosporiales; Cladosporiaceae. The record is from RNAcentral. RNAcentral also lists the same sequence under 1 other name.
CAAAACUUUUAACAACGGAUCUCUUGGUUCUGGCAUCGAUGAAGAACGCAGCGAAAUGCGAUAAGUAAUGUGAAUUGCAGAAUUCAGUGAAUCAUCGAAUCUUUGAACGCACAUUGCGCCCCUCGGUAUUCCGGGGGGCAUGCCUGUUCGAGCGUCAU